CUGAAAUGCAGGCGUGGGACUGGGAGGAUGGAGGGAUGACAUGUAGCUGCACAUGGAGUCACAUGGAGGAGGCCUUGCAAGAAAAACAGAUGCACACCGAUUCAUUUCCUUGAUAUUAUUCCUGUGGCCGCUGCUCUUCCUUCCCGAGCCGCUGGCCUCAGAUGAACCUCAUCGAUUGUUGGAUCAGUGUGAUUCUCAGCCGGGGCUCUUAUUGAGAGUCACAGACGUCGCACGGGCCCUUCGUGCAGACCCAUGCUGCAGGAUUUCCUCGGGAGUUGUUCAUUCUUUUUGGGAAUGCCAAACGAUGCUUCCUGCUUUUCAUAAGGAUUUUUUUUUUCUUGUCUCACGAGCAGAGAAAUUAUUUAAAAUUUGAAGGGGGGGGGAUAAAUCAUAUUUUCAUGUCUUUUUUCAUUUUAAAAAAAACCUCGUAUUUCCUCUCAGCGAGUGUAUAUUUCCUUAAUAAUCCCAUACAAACAAAACUAUAUGACAGUGUGGCCACUCUCUUCUGAUUAUAAUAAUAAACCCUACACAGUG
Long non-coding RNA from Scophthalmus maximus (turbot), 534 nucleotides. RefSeq lists it as uncharacterized. The transcript has 3 exons. The record is from RefSeq and is a predicted model, not a curated record. NCBI's taxonomy places the organism in Eukaryota, Metazoa, Chordata, Actinopteri, Pleuronectiformes, Scophthalmidae.